GAAAUAAACGGGUAUAACGGGGAUAUUUUUAUGCCGGAGUUAAAUGUACACUACUUAUAGUGAAUAUUUUUGAUGGAUUACUCACAUAUUUUAUAUGAUUUAGGAUUAUUUCACAAUGCUACUGUAGGUUAGUAACUUUGACUAGAUAUUUUUCUAUUUUUAUUAUGGGUUCAUGUUUAAUGUGAGCAUCUGCCAAAAACUAUACACUAAAGCACAAAAGGCAAUGGAUUUGCUGUAUAUCAAAACUAAAAGAAAUACUGGAAAUACUGGAUGGAUUUGAUGGACUCAUGCUUAUCAAUUUUUAUGACCAUUCAAUCUGUGAAUAUUUCGGCUUGUAUGGUCAUGAAAAAAUAGUCGCACUGUCACGCUUUGGUUAGAGAGCCCACCAUGUGAUCAAUGACGUUUCAAUCUUGAUGAGAAGGGAUGCACAUUCCCGAAUGCAUCCUUCCUCAUGAUAUGUUGAGUUAAACAUGUUCAUUGCACAUAAAAAUGUCACAGAAAGAGAUGCAGUGCCAAAUACCGACCGCAUGCAGUGCGCGAGCAUGACUAAACAAUAGGUAUUUGAACAUAUGGUAUUUAAACAUGUGGUAUUUAAACAUGUGGCAUUUAAACAUGUGGCAUUUAAACAUGUGGUAUUUGAACAUAUGGUAUUUAAACAUGUGGUAUUCAAACAUGUGGCAUUUAAACAUGUGGUAUUUAAACAUUUGGUAUUUAAACAUGUGGUAUUUAAACAUGUGGUAUUUAAACAUGUGGUAUUUCCAAAAGACAUUUAAUUCGGCUUUGCAAGACACUGUGCUUGGUAUUUCGUAAACUAACAUUAUAUAGCAAGCACGACAUUAACUGUUCAAUAAAACAGCGUUCAUGUACAUAAAUUGUGUGAACUCAAAUCAUGAAGUAUACGAUUUUCUGUCAUUCUUGGUUUGGUCGUUGAAGAGAUAAGACGUAUUUUUUGUGCUCUCGACGUCGCGCUCAGUAUAUAAAUUGAACUGCGCGGGCAAAAAAACGCUCAGUUGACCGAUAGACUUUGACAAAGACAGACGUUAAUUUUGUGAUUUCUGAAAAAAAUUUGACAUGAUUUUUUUUUAUGAUGACUAUGUCUCAGUUGACUUUUGAACGUUAACGAAUAUGGACGUACUUUCGUGAGCUCUGACUACAGUAUCGAUGAAAAGUUUUGAGUUUAACUGACUUGACUUCGCGUUAUAGAAUAGCGACUUGGUACUCGGGUUAUUGAAUGACUGGUGGACUGUAGUGUUAGGUUAUUGUCAUGAGAUAACAACUUGACUUUGACUUGAGUUGUGUGCAAUUAAAUUUGUGUUGGGGUGUCAAGCGAUUGACUUCACUUGAACUCUGGACGUCGGAGUGAUCAGAUGUGUCUUUGAAGCUGGUGUCUACGAAAACGUGAGUACAAACUUUUGUGUUUGACUGUUGACGUGUCUCACUGUGUAUGAUGAUUUAUGAUGAUUUUAAGCGGCUGGCGUAUUAUUGUUGAGUUGUUGUACUGAUAGAGAAGUGAAAUGCGUUGGGUAUAAAUUACUCAGUACUUAUACAGUGUCGAUAAUAUGGUGUGAUGAGAGAUGAUGGUGUUACAAAAUAUUUACUGAGCUACUUUGGGAAACGAACCGAUGAUGUAAAAACAUUGGAAACAUAUUUCAUGAAAAUGCAUGUGCUUAUAUGUACUAAAUAUGAUAUUGCUUUACUUGUAUUUGCAUGUCGUUAACAUUUCUAUUUUAUUUCAGUAUGCUGUGGUGAGUAUUGCAGAUUUAACUUGUAUGUGUGGUUUUUAGUUAACGAUGCUUAAUGAAAACUAUUAUUGUACACUUAGUAUGGAAUGAUGUGAAUGAUGAUAUGAUGGGUAGAAUUAAUCAGUGCUUGUGUCUAGAAAUGCUGAAUGUUUAUUGAAAAGGCUAAAUGCUAGCCAGUACUAAGAGUUGAGCUACCGUGGGAAUGUGAAACGAACUGAUGGUGUAAUAUGAUGGUGUAUUGACAUACUUUUCUUAUAUGUACUAAAUAUGAUAUUGCUUUACUUGUAUUUGCAUGCUGUUAACAUUUCUAUUUUGUUCCAGUGUGCUGUGGUGAGUACUGUAGAUAUUACUUGAUUUUUAGUGUCUAUGAAUGCUGAUGUAUGAUAGCUAUAGCAUGAGCUCAAUGCUAACCAGUAUUAUGAGUUGAUGUAUUGUGGUGAUGCUAAUCGAACUGAUGAUGUAACAUGAUGGUGAACACUUACUGAAUGCAUAAAAUUUAUUGAAUUGCGUUUGUUGAUAUGCACUAUAAUAUGAUAAAUGUAUUGCUUAACAUGUAUAUUUCAUGAUGUUUAAUUUCAGUGGGCUGUGGUGAGUACUGUAGAUUGUAUUGCCUAUGUAUAGAAUUCAAUAAAAGAUUAUGACUGAAAACUGCUUUUGAUUCUUUUUGAACAGUUUUAGGGACUAUAAGUCUAUAACAAAAAUAUGUCGGUUGGCGUUCAUACAGCAAUGUUUUGAGUAGUACAGAAAUGUUUCUACGUUUGUGGUCGCCAGUUGUCUGUGAUGUGUAAAGUGAAAAAUACACGGAGCUUUGAAUACAACAAACAGUUACUGUUUUAACACAGAUUGUGUGCUAUGCAUUUUUCGAUGUAGAUCUUUUUCAGAUUUGACAUGAAAUGUAGACCUGACAUUUGAACAGAGCUGGGAAACGAAAAGGUAAGUUUGUUAAAUUUCACAAUGAACACUUGUGUUUUGACAAAAGAAGAGAUAAAGUGAGUUUUGUCAUCAUCAUGGUUUCUUUCAGAGUAUAACUCGUGAACAGAUGAAAACCUAUUUUUUGCUAGAUUUUCAUGUACUCUUUUUUUGGAUGAUAAGUAUGUCAGUAACUCAAAAUCAUACGGCUAGUACAGUAUGGAACAUGAAUGCUUUGUUCAGAUUUUCAGAUGUGUGCUGGCAGUUCAAGUCUGGCAGCUGAAGUGAACAGUCAUGAUUUUGUUGGAGCUCCAACAAUAUGCUAGAAGGUAAGUAACUAUGUUUAAUUUGCAUUGCAUGUUUUCCUAUGUUUCAGACUUUAAACAGAGAUGUCAUGAUGACUGGAGUUGAGCACAGGGCAGUGAUAAAGUAAAAGGUAAGUACUUUUGACUGAAUGUUUGUUCUAUGCAUGUUUUGCUAUAAUACAUUUCAGGAGUGCUUAUGCAGUGAUGAUUUGACAGUUGAGUGAAAGUGGAGCCAUGCAGUCUUGAUUUUGAAGCUUCUCAACAAGCCUUGAAGAUACGUUUGGCAGUGAAGGAUUGAAAGCUGACAUGAACAGAAAAAAGAUGCUGUUGGCAGUGAUGGGUUUGGAAGCUGGCAUGAACAGAAAAGCAAACAUAUGGUGAGUACAAAAUAGUUUUUAUAUGGUAUGUUUUGUGCAUGCUUCUAUGUUUCAGAUGUACUUGCAGUCAACAACGAAGAUGAUUCAAAAAGAGAAACAUUGUUGUGAUGUGAAUAAAACGUUCAAAUAGGGUAAGUGUAACAAUUGUGGUAGUUUGAUUUGUACCAUGUGUGUAUUGCUAUGUUUCAGAUUGCACAUGCAGAGAUGGUUUCCUACUGGGUGUCAAUAGAAGGGACACGAGUAAAAACGAUUUCAACUGCUAAACCACAAUUCAAGAAGUUGGGUAAGUUUUAAGUCAUUGAUUUGAGGUGUACAAUGUGUUCUUUACUUUGUUGCAGAUUCGAGUCACUGGUUUACACAUGGAAGAAGAUUUCCACCUCUGUGACACAUCUUUACAAAAGCAAGAGGGCCAGAUGUCGAGCAGUACAGAUGUGUUUCUUGGAGGGAGCUCCCAAACCGUGAGUACAAGUAUUUGAUAUUUAGAAGUCUAUGUGAAAGAUAAUAGCAAUGGUAGAAUCUAUCAGUACUUGUGUUUAGAAAUGCUGAUGUGUGACGGUUAACUGAAAAGGGUAAAUGCUAGCCAGUACUUACACCUGAGCAAACGUGGGAUGUCGAACUAACUGAUGAUGUACUAUGAUGGUGAACACUUACUUUGUGUAUCGAAAUGCUUUUGUUGAUAUGAGUGUGAGCUUAAUACAGCAAUGUUUGAGUAAUACAAAAAAUGUAUGUACUCUUUUGUGGUCGCCAGUUGUCUGUGAUAUGUAUAGUAAAAAAAACACAACACAAAGCUAUGAAGCAUACAAUUGUUUUAAGAUUUUAUCAAUGAUUGUGUACUAUGCAUGUUUUGAUUUAGUUCGUUUCAGAUAUGACAUGACCUGAAUAUUUGACAGUCGAACGGAGCUGAGCAUUGCAGAAAAGGUCUCAUAGUAGCCUCAACAGUGAAUAAGGAUAUCAACUGCUGUGACUAAACUGUUGAAGAAGGGUAAGUGGAACAAUGUGUUUGUUUUAUAAGUACCAUGUAUGCUUUAUUUUGCUCUGUUUCAGAGUAGACAUACAAACAGUGUCUUGCUUUGCAUGCUAUUUUUUAGGUCUCUCAUGCAGUGAGGGAAAAGAAGAAGAUUUCAAUAAAGAAUCACUGCUGCAACUCAGCUCUUUAAACAAGGUAAGUGUUUACUAUGUUGUAUACAAAAUGUUUCUCUUUCUUACUAUGUUUCAGGUUAACAUUGCAGAGAUGUUUUGACAGCUUGUGACAGAAAAGAAAUUCAGCAGCUGUGUCUUGACUGUAGCCACAAGGUAAGUCGAAACAAAUAUACUGGUUUGUAUGUUGUGUUGUUAUGCCCUUCUAUGUUUCAGACUUACAUUGCUGUGACUGUUCCACAGUGGGUCAAAAAAGAGACGAAUACAGGUUUCAAGAAGAAAAUUGGCUGUUAAAACUCUGCACAAAAUAUGAGGUAAGUGAACUACUCUUUUGGUUUGUGUUGUGCUUUGUUCUGCUUAACUAUUUUUCAGAUUUGAGUGGUGGGUCGUUACAGAGCAGACUUUUUGACAAGUGAGAAGUUGAGAAACAGAGAAUGAUUCAAGAUCAGCUAGGUAAGUCUUGAUUAUUAUGCAUUGCUAAAUGUUGUUUUUUAUUUCAGUAUGGCUGUGGUAAGUACACUAACUUUCUAUAAUUUAAUAUUGAACUGCUUUGAUAACUUGUAUCCUGCUAUGCAAUGCUUAAUAUAUAUUUUUCAUUUCAGUAUGGCUGUGGUAAGUACACAAACUUUCUUUAAUUUUCACAUUGAACUGUUUUGAUGACUUGUAUCCUGCUAUGCAAAAUGUCUUUUUUUUAUUUCAGUAGCCUGUUGGUAAGUACGCUAACUUUCUAUAAUUUCAUAGUGAAUUGUUUUGAUGACCUGUAUUCUGCAUUGUAAAAUGUGUUUCUUUUUCAUUUCAGUAUGGCUGUGGUAAGUACAAUUGCCUUUCAUAUUGAACUGUUUUGAUGACCUGUAUUUUGCAUUGUAAAAUGUGUUUCUUUUUCAUUUCAGUAUGGCUGUGGUAAGUACACAAACUUUCUUUAAUUUUCAUAUUGAACUGUUUUGAUGACUUGUAUUCUGCUAUACAAAAUGUGUUUUUAUCAGUUCAGUUGCCUGAUGGUAAGUACAAUUUGCUUCUUUAAAUUGCAUGUUGAAAUAUAUUUGAUGACUUUUGUUCUGCUAUGCUCUUUUUCAUUUCAGUUGGGCAGAUGUAAGUACACUUCAUUUAUGUAAAAACUGAAUAUGAUUGUUGUGCUAUACAAAAUGUGCUUUUCUCAAUUUCAGGUCAGCAAUGGUAAGUAGAUUGUGUUUCUUUAUGUAUAAUUUUGUAUACAUAUUGUUUUUUUCAUCAUAGCAUGUCUUUUAUAUUUAUGCUUUGUGUAAGUAAAAUGUUCAUAAAUCAUUCUUAUCUUUAAACUAAAAAUGUAUUUUGAUAUGCAAAAUGUCUGUAUGAUUUCAGUUGCCAGAGGUGAGUACCAUAACAGUUGAAAAGUUAGUUUUGUUUAGUUAAAGUUUUGGUUCACAGUUUUGUUUGUUAUUUGGCAAAAUUUACAUGUAUGCAUUGAGUCUUGAUUUCAGCUCGAUUGUGGACUGAAGAAGAUUGCCAGCAGAGGGAUUGGAUACAAAAUACAAAGUAAGUACUGAGUUUCUUACUAAAAGUUUUGAGUUGUAUUCAUUGUGUGUAAAUAUGCUAUGAUUGCUAUGAACAUGACUUUUGUAUUUCAGCGAAGACAACAUAGGUAAGUAAAAUUGUUAUCUGUUUCAUGUUUACUGUUACAGUUCAAUAUUGUGUUUAUAAAUUGUAAGUUGUACAAACACAUUCAAAAGUUUCUGAUUAUGCUUUCGAUUUCAUUUUAGCUUUACUGCUGGACGAGUGUUCUCAACUACUAGACGAGUCAGGUUUACUACCAGGCGAGCAGUGACAACAAGGCGCCUUUGUGGAAACAACACAACAAAAAACUCUACUGCAAGACGAGCAGUGACAGCAAGGCGCCUGAACAUGCAACACAAUACAAAAAAUGCCAAUAUCCAAACCUUGAUGUGGACACCGAGUAGUCAAUACAUACGUGUGGCGUAUAGCUGCGACAAAACCGUGGGUCCAUCGCACCGAUAACUUGAACAUUGGCCCGUGUAUGGACAUCAGUGCAACUUUGUGAAUCCAUGUAACUUUGUGAAUCCAUGUAACAUUGCGAAUGUGUGUCGAUCGAAAAAUGUGUACAUUCUGCACUGAAACGAACUCGGUGUUGCAAGUGGCAAGUGUUGACAGUGUGUAUGUUUAUGUUUAUGUUUUUACAUGAAAAAUAAAGGAGAUUGUUGUUUUA
This is a long non-coding RNA of Dreissena polymorpha, 6670 nucleotides long. RefSeq lists it as uncharacterized. Lineage: Eukaryota; Metazoa; Mollusca; Bivalvia; Myida; Dreissenidae. The transcript is spliced from 5 exons. The record is from RefSeq and is a predicted model, not a curated record.